This 465-nucleotide ribosomal RNA is filed under the name uncultured bacterium. RNAcentral's name for it is "partial 16S ribosomal RNA". It matches the Rfam family "Bacterial small subunit ribosomal RNA", at positions 338 to 795 of the family's 1533-position model. The record is from RNAcentral.
CCUACGGGAGGCAGCAGUAGGGAAUCUUCCACAAUGGACGAAAGUCUGAUGGAGCAACGCCGCGUGAGUGAAGAAGGGUUUCGGCUCGUAAAGCUCUGUUGGUAGUGAAGAAAGAUAGAGGUAGUAACUGGCCUUUAUUUGACGGUAAUUACUUAGAAAGUCACGGCUAACUACGUGCCAGCAGCCGCGGUAAUACGUAGGUGGCAAGCGUUGUCCGGAGUUAUUGGGCGUAAAGCGAGUGCAGGCGGUUCAAUAAGUCUGAUGUGAAAGCCUUGGGCUCAACCGGAGAAUUGCAUCAGAAACGGUUGGACUUGAGUGCAGAAGAGGAGAGUGGAACUCCAUGUGUAGCGGUGGAAUGCGUAGAUAUAUGGAAGAACACCAGUGGCGAAGGCGGCUCUCUGGUCUGCAACUGACGCUGAGGCUCGAAAGCAUGGGUAGCGAACAGGAUUAGAUACCCUAGUAGUC